Molecule: non-coding RNA, 1589 nt
Organism: Equus caballus (horse)
Lineage: Eukaryota; Metazoa; Chordata; Mammalia; Perissodactyla; Equidae
Source: RefSeq, a predicted model, not a curated record
GUCCUUGACGGUGUCUGUCUCCAUGGAGGAUAGUGGAUUCUGGAGCCAGGAAGCCAGAGAAGGAACCAAAGAAUCCAUGAGGUGAAAUUCCGAUGAACUUUCUAACAGGAGAAUCCAGUUGACCCCACCUGAGCUUACUGACCUAUCCUGUCACAACUCAAAGUAGAAGAGAGACAAUGAGCCUCCCCACUGGGCCACGAUGAAAAGCACAGCACCAUCUACAAAGGGUUCUUGCCUUUAAAAGUAAACCUGAAUCCAAUCAAGUCUCUGAAUCCAACCACUAGCUUUUAAGAAAUACAGAAGACAAAGGAAGAAGUUAAAGAAGGCCUCUGGGCAGCAAUCAGCCACAUCUAGGAUACAGGACAUCCUAGAGAUGCAGUGAACAAACUAGUUUCUCCAAGAAAUCAAUGGCAUUUUUAAUAAGAAUAAAGAAUAAAGCAAAAAGAACCAAGGAUAUGUACGAUAUACCCAAACGCAAUGUGUGGGUCUUGUUUGGAUCCUGAUUCAGACAAAUGAACUCUAAAAGACCUUGUUAAGAAUUUGAUCAGGCUAAGGGACUAUGGGAUUUGAUAACUCGUGUAUUAAAGAAUGGCCCUGCAAAUGUUACUCUAUCAUAAAAAUGUAACCACUCUAAUUGAAUUUAGAAGCAAUAUUAAAAUUAUUCUUUUGGUGAUGCUUCCUAGAUGUAUUAAAUAAAAUAUUUAAAGUAGCAAUUGAUUAAACUGCAAAAAAUAAAGAAUUUGAUCGUGAACUGUAUAUUAGAUGAUAUUUAUUAAGGAACAGUGGUUUAAUUUUGAUCGGUGUGAUAAUGCAUGGUGUUAGUGUUUUUAAAAUGCCCUUGUUAACUAGAGAUGCAUAAUGUAGUAUUUAUAGGCAAAAUUACAUACUGUCUGAUUUGUUUUAAAGGACUCCAGUUUUUAAAAAAAUAAUAUGAGAGAAGGGAUAGCUCAAAUAGAGAUGGCAAAACCUUGAUAAUUAUUGGUUGGGGGAUGGGUACAUAAGAAUUCUUCAUUAUAUUAUCCUCUUAUGUGUAUGCUUAAAAUUUCCCAAUUAAAUGUCUCUUAUUGUUUUGAAGUUAAAAACAAAUAAAUCCAAAAGUCAGAUAAGGAGCUAGGACAAAUAUUUGCAAUUUAUAUAAUAGUCAAAAGGUUAAUAUAUGGUCUAGAUAAGCUGUUCUUACAAAAUGUUAAAAGUGAGCACUCUAAUAAAAAAAUGAGUUAAAGACUUGAAAAGGCAAUUUACUAUAUUACAAAUGGCUAAUAAGCUUACAAAAAUUAGAGAAAGUCACUAAUUAUUAAAGGAAUCAAAUUAAAAGAGUGAUGAAAUAUUAUCUUGAAAUAUUUUUUACGUCAUUGGAAUGUGAUGAGAAGUAGACACAUCUGUACCACUGCUGGCCGGAUUAUAAAUUGUAAAAACUUUCUGGCAGAUAAUUUGACAACAUGUAUCAAAGACCCUUAAAAACGUGUGCCUGGGCUCCUUGGAGAAGUUGCUGUUUCUAGGACUGGGGCAGGAGAUACUCAAGACGAGACUGGAGUACUUGUAGCGCCAGACAGUGAAGGGGUGUCAGACAAAAAUUCCUCACAAUGAUG